GGAGGUAGUGACGAAAAAUAACAAUAUAGAACUAAUCAUUUAGUUCUGUAAUUGGAAUGAAUCAAGUAUAAAUCCUUUAAUGAGGAUCCAGUGGAGGGCAAGUCUGGUGCCAGCAGCCGCGGUAAUUCCAGCUCCACUAGCGUAUAUUAAAAUUGUUGCGGUUAAAACGUUCGAAGUUGAUUAUUGUUCAGUACGGGUGUAGCGCCAUCAAGUAAAUGGCUGCUAUCAUUUCCGAUUACUUGAACUAUAUGACUGAACACUUAAUGAAUAGCAUCGAUACCUUUAAUUAGGCUAGGUGUCUAUUUAGUUCGGCUUACUUUUACCUUGAACAAAUUAAGGUGCUCAAAGCAGGCUCUUAUGCCUUGAAUAUUUUUGCAUGGAAUAAUGGAAAAAGACCUCGGUCUUAUAGNCUGUGCGCGUUAAAACGUGCAGUCGCUUUCUAUUGGUUUGAUACAGAUCAAGAGGUAAUGA
Molecule: ribosomal RNA, 471 nt
Filed under: Ferringtonia sp. 2 SRM-2010
Lineage: Eukaryota; Metazoa; Arthropoda; Insecta; Diptera; Chironomidae
Description: bacterial SSU rRNA
Rfam family: Eukaryotic small subunit ribosomal RNA
Source: RNAcentral